RNAcentral lists this ribosomal RNA (659 nucleotides) under fungal endophyte. RNAcentral's name for it is "eukaryotic LSU rRNA". The stretch from base 299 to 452 matches the Rfam family "5.8S ribosomal RNA". Lineage: Eukaryota; Fungi. The record is from RNAcentral.
GUCGUAACAAGGUCUCCGUUGGUGAACCAGCGGAGGGAUCAUUACUGAGUUAUCAAAACUCCCAAACCCUUUGUGAACCUUACCGUCGUUGCCUCGGCGUGAGCUACGGCUACCCUGUAACUACCCUGGAGCUACCCUGGAGUUACCCUAUAGCUACCCUGCACUUACCCUGCAGCUACCCUAUAGCUACCCUGGAGCUACCCUGGAGCUACCCUGUAGUCGGCUUCGGCCCGCCGAAGGACCGUUAAACUCUUGUUUUUACCACUGUUUAUCUGAAUUUUAAACUAAAAUAAGUUAAAACUUUCAACAACGGAUCUCUUGGUUCUGGCAUCGAUGAAGAACGCAGCGAAAUGCGAUAAGUAAUGUGAAUUGCAGAAUUCAGUGAAUCAUCGAAUCUUUGAACGCACAUUGCGCCCAUUAGUAUUCUAGUGGGCAUGCCUAUUCGAGCGUCAUUUCGACCCCUAAGCCCCUGUUGCUUAGCGUUGGGAAUCUACGGCGUAGUUCCUCAAAGUUAGUGGCGGAGUUAGGGUACACUCUCAGCGUAGUAAUUUCUCUCGCUCGUGUGGUGGCCCUGGCUGCUAGCCGUUAAAACCCCUAUAUUUUCUAGUGGUUGACCUCGGAUUAGGUAGGAAUACCCGCUGAACUUAAGCAUAUCAAUA